This is a non-coding RNA of Peromyscus maniculatus bairdii (prairie deer mouse), 2175 nucleotides long. Lineage: Eukaryota; Metazoa; Chordata; Mammalia; Rodentia; Cricetidae. The record is from RefSeq and is a predicted model, not a curated record.
GCCGCCGCCUCCUCGCCCGCUUCCUCAGGGGCCGCAGCGGGCUUCGACUGCGCCACUCGCACCCCGCCUGGACCGCGUUGCACGUCAGCACGACCGAGCGCUAGAGACGUUCGACUGCGAAGUCAAAAGACCCCGAGUCCCGUCGGGCACUGCGGGGAGAAGCGGGGAAAGGCGGGGCACCACACCGAAGGGGCAACGUCUUCUGGAAAUCCUCUGUAGGAAGGGGGAGGGGCCGCAACCCGCAGCGCCGGAGACGCGCUCGGACGCACGCCUUCCGCGCAGAGAGUUCUGGGAGUUGUAGUUCAGCGUUAGAGAGAGACUCGCAGAGCGCCUUCUCCGGGCAGCGCCGCCAUUUUGUCUACCUGUGCUGUGCGGCAAUGGCUCAGCAACUCUACCUCUGCCCUGUGACCGCGGGUUUCCUUAGCAAGUGUGAGGCCACACAGCACCUGGUCUUCCGCUCUCAGGAGAGAUGCUUCAGAGUCAAGCCUCCUGGCUCCCUUGGAACCCCUUGAGCCCGGCUCUGGCCCAGGUUCUGAAGCAAAAGCCAAGCUAGCCUCCUGUGGUGUCCAUAGUCUUCACCUUAGACGGAGAUGAAAUAGGGCGGGAAGGCCAACAAGAAAUAGUUUCUCUUGCUUGGCGGUGGUGGCGCGCACCUUUAAUCCCAGCACUCGGGAGGCAGAGGCAGACGGAUCUCUGAGUUCGAGCCCAGCCUGGUCUGCAGAACGAGCUCCGGGACAGCCAGGCUAGGCAGAGAAACCCUGUCUCAAAAAAAGAAGAGUAGAGACUAGAUCAGCGGUUUCGCUUGUAGAAUCUGUGCCAUGUGUGAAGGGAUGUGUCAGAAGGAACUAUUUAAAAAUUUUAACUCCACUGGACCAUUUCCUGUGCAUAGUGCGGUGCCGGGAAUCGAGCCCAGGGUCUUCAUAUGUGCCAGCAAGGGCUCUGCCACUGAGCUACACACCCAGCCUAUUUCCUAUUUCAUUUAUGUGUUAAAAAUUAGGUGUAUACAUGUUUGUCUGUUCACGGUAUGCACACAUGAGUGCAGUUCUGAGGAGGUCAGAGGUAUUGAGGACUUGUGAGCCCGCUGAGGUGGUGGGUGCUGGAACCGAACUUAGUUCCUCCGCAGGAACAACAGUAAGAUCUUACUGAGCCUUCUCUCCAGCCCACCCUCAUUAAUUUUUAGAAGUCCUUUUUUCUAGGGCUGAUUAAAAGAUGGUCUCCCACGAAGCAGAGUUGUAGGAAGCUGUCCUUGUAGCCUUCAAACUAAUGUCUGAUUGCCUCUGUCUGCAGUCUUGAGUACCAGAAUUUGAUUUGAUAUUGUUGUUUCUUUUUAAUUUACCAUCAAAUACUUUAUUUACUCAGAUACUAGAAUUCCAAAAUUGUGAGAUUCGAGACAGGGUUUCUCUGUGUAACAGCCCUGGCUGUCCUGGAACUCUCUCUGUAGACCAGGCUGGCUUUGAACUCACAGAGACCCACCUGCCUCUGCCUUCUGAGAGCUGGGAUUAAAGGUUUGUGCCACCACAUUUGAGUUCACAUUUCUGUGCUCUAGAAUUGUGCUUUCCCUGUUUCUUUGAAGUCCCCAAUACUUGUAGACGUCCACAAACUAGACACACCUUAGGAGUUAAUAUGGUAAGGUAAUGGAGGAUGGAAGUAAAGGGUGGUGGUUUCUUUAAAGAUCAUAUCACUUCUAGUGAGACCUUUCCUAUAAGCUAAAUUCCCAUCUAAAUUCCUCAUAUCUUUUGCCAAAUUUUGUACCUGAAUUGUGCAUUCAAUGUUUAUGACAACCCCAUGGGGAAAAUGUUCUUUUUCCAUGACAACAGUGAAUUCUUUUACAUGUCCACAGUGUAAUUUUCAGAAUCAAAAUAACAUUGAAAUCUGGGCAUGCAUGUCUGUACUCCCAGGACUCAAGAGACUGAGACAGGAAGAUCCCAGCCUGGACUAUUAAGACAAGACCCUUCUCAACAACAGUAACAGCACGAAUGUAGAGCUAACAAGAUUGGCUCAACUGGAAAAGGGAUUUAACAUGCGUGGUAGGAGGACAGAACCUACUUCUGCAAGUUGUCCUCUGACUUCCUAAUGUGUGGCAUGAUACCACCCCCAGUCCCCUAAACACAUACACAAAAUAGAUGAAUAAAUAAAAGAUGAGUGUAACAUAGAAGCAAUGCUGUAAUCUACAAA